Molecule: transfer RNA, 57 nt
Filed under: Heteropoda venatoria (giant crab spider)
Lineage: Eukaryota; Metazoa; Arthropoda; Arachnida; Araneae; Sparassidae
Description: tRNA-Leu
Source: RNAcentral
AUAUUAUUGGCAGAUAAAUGCAUUAGAAUUAGAAUCUAAUCAACUAUUAAUCCUAUU